CCUACGGGAGGCUGCAGUGGGGAAUAUUGGACAAUGGGGGGAACCCUGAUCCAGCGACGCCGCGUGAGUGAAGAAGUAUUUCGGUAUGUAAAGCUCUAUCAGCAGGGAAGAAAGAAAUGACGGUACCUGACUAAGAAGCCCCGGCUAACUACGUGCCAGCAGCCGCGGUAAUACGUAGGGGGCAAGCGUUAUCCGGAUUUACUGGGUGUAAAGGGAGCGUAGACGGCGAUGCAAGUCUGAAGUGAAAGGCGGGGGCCCAACCCCCGGACUGCUUUGGAAACUGGAUGGCUGGAGUGCUGGAGAGGUAAGUGGAAUUCCUAGUGUAGCGGUGAAAUGCGUAGAUAUUAGGAGGAACACCAGUGGCGAAGGCGGCCUGCUGGACUGCAACUGACGUUGAGGCCCGAAAGCGUGGGGAGCAAACAGGAUUAGAUACCCUUGUAGUC
Molecule: ribosomal RNA, 443 nt
Filed under: uncultured bacterium
Lineage: Bacteria
Description: partial 16S ribosomal RNA
Rfam family: Bacterial small subunit ribosomal RNA
Source: RNAcentral